RNAcentral lists this ribosomal RNA (504 nucleotides) under uncultured bacterium. RNAcentral describes it as "partial 16S ribosomal RNA". It matches the Rfam family "Bacterial small subunit ribosomal RNA", at positions 30 to 523 of the family's 1533-position model. The record is from RNAcentral.
AUUGAACGCUGGCGGCAGGCCUAACACAUGCAAGUCGAACGGUAGCACAGAGAGCUUGCUCUCGGGUGACGAGCGGCGGACGGGUGAGUAAUGUCUGGGAAACUGCCCGAUGGAGGGGGAUAACUACUGGAAACGGUAGCUAAUACCGCAUAACGUCGCAAGACCAAAGAGGGGGACCUUCGGGCCUCUUGCCAUCGGAUGUGCCCAGAUGGGAUUAGCUAGUAGGUGGGGUAACGGCUCACCUAGGCGACGAUCCCUAGCUGGUCUGAGAGGAUGACCAGCCACACUGGAACUGAGACACGGUCCAGACUCCUACGGGAGGCAGCAGUGGGGAAUAUUGCACAAUGGGCGCAAGCCUGAUGCAGCCAUGCCGCGUGUAUGAAGAAGGCCUUCGGGUUGUAAAGUACUUUCAGCGGGGAGGAAGGUGUUGAGGUUAAUAACCUCAGCAAUUGACGUUACCCGCAGAAGAAACACCGGCUAACUCCGUGCCAGCCGCCGCGGUAA